CUAUGUUGCUGAGCCAACUAGCCUGGUCCCGAUCACGUUCACAACCAAAGACUCCCUUCUAUGGUCUCAGGCGCUAGUUUACCAAACAAACUAUCAAACAUGGCAACAACGUUUGCACGCUGUGCUAGUGGUUUUACUUUCAUCGCUACUUGGAACCGAUAAACCGCACAGAGACGUUCUCGAACACUCUCUCUACGUCAUUUUCAAGCGGGUAUCCAGGUAAAUCCAGCUUCAAGACUGGCUCGAGGAAAGGACCUAGCUAACAUCACUUCAAUGAAGAUUAGCUGCCUAACUAAGAUAGAAGUAGUU
Molecule: long non-coding RNA, 309 nt
Filed under: Medicago truncatula (barrel medic)
Lineage: Eukaryota; Viridiplantae; Streptophyta; Magnoliopsida; Fabales; Fabaceae
Description: lncRNA gene13341
Source: RNAcentral